RNAcentral lists this ribosomal RNA (253 nucleotides) under uncultured bacterium. RNAcentral's name for it is "partial 16S ribosomal RNA". It matches the Rfam family "Bacterial small subunit ribosomal RNA", at positions 524 to 776 of the family's 1533-position model. The record is from RNAcentral.
UACGUAGGCAGCAAGCGUUGUUCGGAAUUACUGGGCGUAAAGAGUGUGUAGGCGGUGUUCUAAGUUUGGUGUGAAAUCUCCCGGCUCAACUGGGAGGGUGCGCCGAAAACUGGAAUGCUAGGGUAUGGGAGAGGUAAGCGGAAUUCCUGGUGUAGCGGUGAAAUGCGUAGAUAUCAGGAGGAACACCUGUGGUGUAGACAGCUUACUGGACCAUCACUGACGCUGAGACACGAAAGCGUGGGUAGCAAACAGG